This 500-nucleotide ribosomal RNA is filed under the name uncultured bacterium. RNAcentral's name for it is "partial 16S ribosomal RNA". It matches the Rfam family "Bacterial small subunit ribosomal RNA", at positions 30 to 523 of the family's 1533-position model. The record is from RNAcentral.
AUUGAGCGCUGGCGGCAGGCCUAACACAUGCAAGUCGAGCGGUAGAGAGAAGCUUGCUUCUCUUGAGAGCGGCGGACGGGUGAGUAAUGCCUAGGAAUCUGCCUGGUAGUGGGGGAUAACGUUCGGAAACGGACGCUAAUACCGCAUACGUCCUACGGGAGAAAGCAGGGGACCUUCGGGCCUUGCGCUAUCAGAUGAGCCUAGGUCGGAUUAGCUAGUUGGUGGGGUAAUGGCUCACCAAGGCGACGAUCCGUAACUGGUCUGAGAGGAUGAUCAGUCACACUGGAACUGAGACACGGUCCAGACUCCUACGGGAGGCAGCAGUGAGGAAUAUUGGACAAUGGGCGAAAGCCUGAUCCAGCCAUGCCGCGUGUGUGAAGAAGGUCUUCGGAUUGUAAAGCACUUUAAGUUGGGAGGAAGGGCAGUAAAUUAAUACUUUGCUGUUUUGACGUUACCGACAGAAUAAGCACCGGCUAACUCUGUGCCAGCAGCCGCCGUAA